AUAACGACUCUCGGCAACGGAUAUCUCGGCUCUCGCAUCGAUGAAGAACGUAGCGAACUGCGAUACUUGGUGUGAAUUGCAGAAUCCCGUGAACCAUCGAGUCUUUGAACGCAAGUUGCGCCCGAAACCUUCUGGUCGAGGGCACGUUUGCCUGGGUGUCACA
This 163-nucleotide ribosomal RNA is filed under the name Eucalyptus leptopoda subsp. leptopoda. Its description in RNAcentral is "5.8S ribosomal RNA". It matches the Rfam family "5.8S ribosomal RNA". From Rfam's summary of the family: 5.8S ribosomal RNA (5.8S rRNA) is a component of the large subunit of the eukaryotic ribosome. It is transcribed by RNA polymerase I as part of the 45S precursor that also contains 18S and 28S rRNA. RNAcentral also lists the same sequence under 1 other name. Lineage: Eukaryota; Viridiplantae; Streptophyta; Magnoliopsida; Myrtales; Myrtaceae. The record is from RNAcentral.